Long non-coding RNA from Dreissena polymorpha, 967 nucleotides. RefSeq lists it as uncharacterized. The transcript is spliced from 4 exons. The record is from RefSeq and is a predicted model, not a curated record. Lineage: Eukaryota; Metazoa; Mollusca; Bivalvia; Myida; Dreissenidae.
CAUACCGAAUAUAUUGUAUAUCGGUAAAGAAAACAUAAACAAGUAAAAAUACUACAAGAAUAUGCAUUGAAACAAAUUAGUAUUUUUAUGAAACAAAUAAAAUGCAACAAUUAAUUAUUUGUUUUGGUUAUUUUCAGGUGAUGAGUUUAACAACAUGGCCAGUAUUCCCCUGGGUGGUGAUCAGCUGACACGGGUAACAUUUGAUUCGGUACGCGUUCUGAGAUCUGGUACUCACAGUCAAACAGAGAGGUCGAGAGGUCGAAUAAUUAUUUCAUGUUCAGCAAGACUUGUUAGAGAAAAUCAUCAAAACCAUCUACAUACCAGAAACAGCUCGUGAAGAGGGAUCACUUGCCCAGAACAGAGCAAUUCUUCAUAGAAGAAACGUUAAUGGUCAAGUAAAGGCUUAUGGAUAUGAAUCACACAAAGACUUCCUCAUUACUGUCACUAGAGCUCUUGUGAUAGAGUUAGCUUGUGAAAAAUGGGGGCUUAUUCCAAGACAGAUAUGGGGUCUCUUGUUCCGGAAGAAAUGAAGACUUCUUAUAUCAAAGGGAAGAAACAGUGGUUACAGGAGCAAGUGACCAAAGUGGUGGAUACACUCUUCUGUCCAUACUCUGCUCCAAAAGAUGCUAAAAUAUACAUUCGGCGCAGUGGCCAUUUGUACUGUGUUACGGUGUCUUCAAAAGAUGUCGGGAAAACCAUUGAUCUUAUCAUAAAUGGUGAAGCUGUAAGGUAGCCUCAAGAGUGUAAACCUGACGAAGCAGAAGAUGGUGUGUUUUCAUACAGUCUUGGGAUUGUCAGAGUUGCAAUAGAUUUUAUCAUGUUCAAUGAUGCAAUAAAAUCAGGUGAUAUAGACAUGAUUACAAUUCUUAUGAAACGAUUCAUUCCACUGUUUAUAGGAUUGUCAUCCUACAAAUCAAAGUAUGCUAUUGAGUGUGUCAACUUCCUUACUAAAACUGAAUGCCUUUUG